This 462-nucleotide ribosomal RNA is filed under the name uncultured bacterium. RNAcentral describes it as "partial 16S ribosomal RNA". It matches the Rfam family "Bacterial small subunit ribosomal RNA", at positions 28 to 506 of the family's 1533-position model. The record is from RNAcentral.
GAUGAACGCUGACAGAAUGCUUAACACAUGCAAGUCGAUGGGGAAGUGGUGCUUGCACCAUGGCAACCAUGGCGGACGGGUGAGUAACGCGUAAGGGACUUACCUGCAGGACUGGGAUAACAGGGGGAAACUCCUGACAAGACCGGAUAAUGUCAUGGAGCUGCAUGGCUUUAUGAUGAAAGGAGACGCCUGCGGAGAGCCUUGCGUCCUAUUAGCUAGUUGGUGAGGUAAUGGCUCACCAAGGCGAAGAUAGGUAGCCGGCCUGAGAGGGUGGACGGCCAAAAGGGGACUGGGAUCCGGCCCUUACUCCUACGGGAGGCAGCAGGGGGGAAAAUUGGACAAUGGGGCCAACCCUAAUCCAGCAAUUUGGUGUGAAAAAAAAAGUUUUUCGGAUGGAAAAGGGUUUUCAGAAGGGAAGAAGUAAGGGCCGGACCCUGCAGAAGAAGCAACGGCUAAAUCCGG